Molecule: long non-coding RNA, 709 nt
Organism: Symphalangus syndactylus (siamang)
Lineage: Eukaryota; Metazoa; Chordata; Mammalia; Primates; Hylobatidae
Source: RefSeq, a predicted model, not a curated record
UUUAUUUUAUUUUUUUUAGACAGAGUCUCGCUCUGUCGCCCAGGCUGGAGUGCAGUGGUGCUAUCUCGGCUCACUGCAAGCUCUGCCUCCCGGGUUCACGCCAUUCUCCUCCUCAGCCUCCCAAGUAGCUGGGACUACAGGCGCCCGCCACCACGCCUGGCUAAUUUUUUGUGUUUUUAGUACAGACGGGGUUUCACCGUGUUAGCCAGGAUGGUCUCUAUCUCCUGACCUCAUGAUCCGCCCGCCUCGGCCUCCCAAAGUGCUGGGAUUACAGGCGUGAGCCACCACUCCCUGCCGUAAAACACCUAAUCUUUAAUGACACUCCUGUGCAUGUGAAAGCACUCUUGUUGGUGCAGCAGAAAGUGGACCUCACAAUACGCAUUGUGACUUUACCCUGAGACGUUGAUGAUGCUCCUAUUGCCAUGGUUAUGUGAUUGGGUAUAUCUUGCCCUUGGUCCUAACUGCCACUGUCUGUGCUGAGGUUUUCAAAGUUCAUAGCAGAUUGAACAUGCUUGCUGUCAUUUUCACAGAUUCUGGUCUUUCUUAUGGAGAACCUGAGUUCCUGCAUUAAAGUUCCCCCAGAAGAUCAACGGAAGGUGGAUUCCAAAGAGUGGGCAAGUGAGGACCCCUUCUCUGUUACCAAGGUGACCCCAAGGAACACAAUAAAUGGUAUGUAUUCUGGAAUCAUUCACUGGGUGUAAAAAAGAAA